UGCCAGACUCCUACGGGAGGCAGCAGUGGGGAAUAUUGCACAAUGGGGGAAACCCUGAUGCAGCAACGCCGCGUGAGUGAAGAAGUAUUUCGGUAUGUAAAGCUCUAUCAGCAGGGAAGAAGAAAGACGGUACCUGACUAAGAAGCCCCGGCUAACUACGUGCCAGCAGCCGCGGUAAUACGUAGGGGGCAAGCGUUAUCCGGAUUUACUGGGUGUAAAGGGAGCGUAGACGGCAUAGCAAGUCUGAAGUGAAAGCCCGUGGCUCAACCGCGGGACUGCUCUUGGAACUGCGUGGCUAGAGUGCAGGAGGGGCAGGCGGAAUUCCUGGUGUAGCGGUGAAAUGCGUAGAUAUCAGGAGGAACACCGGUGGCGAAGGCGGCCUGCUGGACGAUGACUGACGCUGAGGCUCGAAAGCGUGGGGAGCAAACAGGAUUAGAUACCCUCGUAC
Molecule: ribosomal RNA, 448 nt
Filed under: uncultured bacterium
Lineage: Bacteria
Description: partial 16S ribosomal RNA
Rfam family: Bacterial small subunit ribosomal RNA
Source: RNAcentral